CUUUAGGAGCACAUACAGCUAUACUAAGAUUGAAAGAGUACAGAGAAGAUUAGUAUGGCACCUGAACAGCAAUGAUAUGCAAAUUUGUAAGUCGUUCCCUUAUUUU
This is a small nuclear RNA of Mobula hypostoma (lesser devil ray), 106 nucleotides long. NCBI's taxonomy places the organism in Eukaryota, Metazoa, Chordata, Chondrichthyes, Myliobatiformes, Myliobatidae. The record is from RefSeq and is a predicted model, not a curated record.